RNAcentral lists this long non-coding RNA (1480 nucleotides) under Homo sapiens (human). Its description in RNAcentral is "HSALNT0037934". Lineage: Eukaryota; Metazoa; Chordata; Mammalia; Primates; Hominidae. The record is from RNAcentral.
CACCUAUAAUCCCAGCUACUCGGGGGGGCUGAGGCAGGAGAAUCGCUUGAACCUGGAAGGUGGAGGCUGCAGUGAGCUGAGAUCGUGCCAUUGCACUCCAGCCUGGGCAACAAGAGUGAAACGCCAUCUAAAAAAAAAAAAGGUAACAAAAAACUCUCCCUCAAAUUCGUGUUGAUACCUAAUUCCCAAUGUGAUAACAUUUGGAGGUGCGGCCUUUGGGAGGUGAUGCAGUCAUGAGGGUGGAGACCUCAUGAAUGGGAUUAGUGCCCUUAUAAAAGAGACCACCAGAGAGCUUCCUCUCCCCUUCCUUCAUCUGAGGACACAGUGAGAAGCCAGCUGUCUAUGAACCAGAAAGCAGGCCCUCAUCACACAUUGAUUCUGCUGGCGUUUUGAUCUUGGACUUCCCAGCCUCCCUGUGAGAAAUGAAUUUCUGUUGCUUACAGGCCACCUGGUCUAUAGUCCUCUGUUACAGCAGCCUGAAUGAACCAAGACACCCAUGUACACAUUUACAAACAAAACAAGUACGGCCUAGCCCACAUUCUCAGGAGCUUACAAUUUUCCUUUAAGUAAAGUUACGUGGGAAGACCCUGAACUGUGGAGCAAAAAGGGCCUGCGUUGAGACUAGCUCUCCUGCUUGUCGUGCUGUGGUCUUGAGAAGCACCUGAACUCUUUGACCCCUUUCUCCUCAUCUGUGGAAUUAGGGUAACUAUGCCAUUCCCCAGGCUUGCUACCAGGAGGAGAAUGCGGGGACAGACUUGGGAGCAGCUCACAUUCCUGAAGAAGUUAACGUUCUAAGGUAUGGUGGUGACAAGCCGGACCGGGCAGAAUACAUUCUUCCCGUGGUGAAACAGAGGAAAAUAAAGCUGGACAGACAGUGAAGGGCCCUGUCAUGGAAAGCUCCAGCCAGACAGAGCGGUCUGGAGUUUGUUUUGCAGGCAGUGGUCAUGGGGAAAGGCUUUGUGAAACUCACGGUUCAGCGGCUGAGUCUCACCGCCUGUGUAGCUUGGGUGGGGUGGAGUGAGACUGGAGGCUGGGAAGCACCUGAGAGGUGUCAAGGGCUGCCGUGUGGACUUAGCCUGGGGCAGUGGGAGGGGUAGGGGUGGAAGGCAGGCCACAGGAGUGAAAAUAGGGCCCCGGUUUCCAGGGCGUCGUUCCCCCUGCAUCUUGCUCUCUGCCUUUCUCCUCUUGUCCUUCUGUCUCCACCCCUAUCCCCAUCUCCCAAAUGCUUCAGAGCAUAAAGGUGCUGCCCAGCCAAAAUCACCCGCACAAACUCCAGGUAAACUUGGUCUGGGCAGCUUUGAGUGGGUCAUGAGUGGAGGAAGGGCAGGCCCACUCUUUCCUUAGUAUAUGAGUGAGAAAAGCGACCGCUGGUUAGAUCUCACAGGAAACCAGAGCCUUGUGGCAGCACCUGACUUCAGGUGCAGCACAGCCCACGGAGUGAGAAGCUGACACCUCUGUGCCUGCUGAGGCAGGCUGCUCC